This 515-nucleotide ribosomal RNA is filed under the name uncultured bacterium. RNAcentral describes it as "bacterial SSU rRNA". It matches the Rfam family "Bacterial small subunit ribosomal RNA", at positions 19 to 535 of the family's 1533-position model. The record is from RNAcentral.
CUGGCUCAGAUUGAACGCUGGCGGCAUGCUUUACACAUGCAAGUCGAACGGCAGCGGGGGCUUCGGCCUGCCGGCGAGUGGCGAACGGGUGAGUAAUGCAUCGGAACGUGCCCAUGUCGUGGGGGAUAACGUAGCGAAAGCUACGCUAAUACCGCAUACGCCCUGAGGGGGAAAGCGGGGGAUUCUUCGGAACCUCGCGCGAUUGGAGCGGCCGAUGUCGGAUUAGCUAGUAGGUGAGGUAAAGGCUCACCUAGGCGACGAUCCGUAGCGGGUCUGAGAGGAUGAUCAGCCACACUGGAACUGAGACACGGUCCAGACUCCUACGGGAGGCAGCAGUAAGGAAUAUUGCUCAAUGGGGGAAACCCUGAAGCAGCAACGCCGCGUGAAGGAUGAAAUACUUUUGUAUGUAAACUUCUGUAAGAUGGGAAAAAUAUUCUCCUCGGGAGAAUUGAUUGUACCAUCAGAGUAAGCCCCGGCUAACUACGUGCCAGCAGCCGCGGUAAUACGUAGGGGGC